AUUGAACGCUGGCGGCAUGCCUUACACAUGCAAGUCGAACGGCAGCACGGGAGCAAUCCUGGUGGCGAGUGGCGAACGGGUGAGUAAAGUAUCGGAACGUGCCCAGUCGUGGGGGAUAACGUAGCGAAAGUUACGCUAAUACCGCAUACGAUCUAUGGAUGAAAGCGGGGGAUCGCAAGACCUCGCGCGAUUGGAGCGGCCGAUAUCGGAUUAGGUAGUUGGUGGGGUAAAGGCUCACAAAGCCGACGAUCUGUAGCUGGUCUGAGAGGACGGGCAGCCACACUGGGACUGAGACACGGCCCAGACUCCUACGGGAGGCAGCAGUGGGGAAUUUUGGACAAUGGGCGAAAGCCUGAUCCAGCCAUGCCGCGUGCAGGAUGAAGGCCUGCGGGUUGUAAACUGCUUUUGUACGGAACGAAAAGGUUUGGCCUAAUAAGCUGAGCUCAUGACGGUACCGUAAGAAUAAGCACCGGCUAACUACGUGCCAGCCGCCGCGGUAA
RNAcentral lists this ribosomal RNA (500 nucleotides) under uncultured bacterium. RNAcentral describes it as "partial 16S ribosomal RNA". It matches the Rfam family "Bacterial small subunit ribosomal RNA", at positions 29 to 523 of the family's 1533-position model. The record is from RNAcentral.